This 881-nucleotide ribosomal RNA is filed under the name Triticum aestivum (bread wheat). RNAcentral's name for it is "partial small subunit ribosomal RNA". Lineage: Eukaryota; Viridiplantae; Streptophyta; Magnoliopsida; Poales; Poaceae. The record is from RNAcentral.
GGAGAGUUUAGAAGAAGGUUUAGAACGUUUAAACUUCUUAAACAGGCACCUAAAGCUUCAGUUUGGGAGGGAGUUCCAUACCGCCGAAGGGUUGGUUGUUUGGUUGCUACUUCCUCCUAUCGCUUCUACUCUACCGGCCUACCACCCUCUUCCGACGCUUCUUCGAAUCUCUCCUCCUACGUCGGUUCGAUUUCUUCUUCUUCCUUCUCCUCGAACUCUUCCUCUCCUUCGCUUUUGUCUCACGCCGUUUACGCUACGCGCGAUCCCUCGUUCGCAACUACUCCUUUCAACUCCUCCGUGUCUUCUUCGCAGUUGUCCUAAAACUUCUUUCUUGGUACUUCGAAACCCGUUAACGUCGACUUUUUCUUUUCUCCCUGUUAGUCUAUAAGUACCUCUCCCACCAAUUCCUCCGAGUGGAGUAUUCUUUUUCCCUCCUCCUUCUCCUUCUUCUCUCCUUCUUCUUCUUCCCUUUCCCCGGAACGAGAUGCGUUAUCUCGAUACAGAGGAGAAGCUAAACCAACAGAGGUUACACUAAACCAACACUUGAUGAUACACGGCACUUGAUGAUACAGAGGAGGAGCUAAACCAACACACUUGAUGAUACACGCCACUUGAUGAUACAGAGGAGGAACUAAACCAACAUUCUUGAUGAUACACAGCACUUCAUGAUACACAAUACUUGAUGAUACACAGCACUUCAUGAACCCGCGACGAUAGAUGGUACACCGCGGAUCGACGACACCGAGAGACAUUUCAUGGAAGACAAGACCGACGUAUCGAUGUCUGGUCACGUCGCGCAUCGAUCCUCCGCGGUGUGACAUGUCACGUCGCGGACCGCCGAUCCGUGACGUGACAUAUCACACCGCGGAGGCACGAUCCGC